UAAAUUGUGCAAUUCUGAUAGAACAUUGGGGAAUAUACACCCUUUUUAAGGUUAUAAAUAUCCAAGAAUAUGGGCAGAAAAGUUGUGAUUUUAAAGAAUAUGUUGAAAGACAAAUGAAAAGGGGAAAGAGAAAGUCAAUAUCCAGACUUAUGAACAUACAAACAAUUCUACUUUAAGAUUUUAAGUUCCCAGAAGAGAGACAACUAUAAAAUCUCUUUUGAAUAUAUUCAUCAUCUGACAGCUCUAUCAAUUUAAUAGAAAGUAUAUUUUGAUGAAUUAAUGGCUCCUUAAUUGCCAUCUAACACUGGCAGACAGAGAUGCUAAGAUUUCAUUUUUCAAUGAUUGUGCCAUACAGAAUGCACACUAGUGCUACUUGACAUCGAAAAAUGUGGAAUGAAAAGAUUUUUGUCUGUUUCAAGAAAUGAAGAUAUAAAAGGUGCUGCCAUUUUUCCUGAUUCAUCAUGUAGUUGCUUAUACAGAGAGUAAUGUAUUCACCGUCAAACGUCUGUACUUCCAUGUCAA
Non-coding RNA from Microcebus murinus (gray mouse lemur), 522 nucleotides. Lineage: Eukaryota; Metazoa; Chordata; Mammalia; Primates; Cheirogaleidae. The record is from RefSeq and is a predicted model, not a curated record.